Long non-coding RNA from Rhagoletis zephyria (snowberry fruit fly), 230 nucleotides. RefSeq lists it as uncharacterized. The record is from RefSeq and is a predicted model, not a curated record. Lineage: Eukaryota; Metazoa; Arthropoda; Insecta; Diptera; Tephritidae.
UGGUACUUGAACUGAUUAGGAACGGAAUUCGGCACAAAACUAACAAAAACGGUGCGAUCUCUCCCGAAGUAAUGCUUUUACUAACACUGCGUUUCUUUGCAACUGGCUGCAUGCAAAGAACUGGCGGUGACCUGUGUGGCGUUUCAAAAAGUUCUUCCUGUCGCGCAAUAAGGAGAGUGUGUCACAACAUUGCAUUGUUAAGACAACGAUUUAUAAAAGUCCCCUUGGAA